CGACACAUUGGUGCUGGGAGAUAACAUUCUUGCAAAUUCAGUGCCUUCUGUGUUACACCCUAAGCGCCAGGGCCAGGUGGUCCACAACAACUUGGUCGGGAUAAUCAAAGCUUGGAUUACCUAACUUUCCAUACAUGCUGCCCCUAGAGGCGUUGCAUAUGUGGCUGCGGUGUCACGUGUGUGUCAUCAGGUGGCAGAGAGAAGAGAGGCUUGUCUACGCCCAGUGUUCUGGCCCGUGAACGUCUGGAUGAUUGAUAGUCUGACACUUGACUGCGUGCGAACUGUUGGUGUGUGUUUACAGGCAGCCUGAGGCCUGUCAGCAGGGGUCUGAAAGGUGACCGUGGAAGAGGUGAAAGAUCCUUUGGAGCAUCGUGCACUGGAUUUGAAUACCAGCAGUGAUGGAGCCAAGCGGUUCUCUUACUAAUACGAGAACAGUGACAGCUUGUGACCAUUGGCCAGAAUGACCAGCCAUCACGAUCCAGAGCCAGAUCCGUGGGCCCAGCUCGGUUCUGUGCAGCUGGUCAGUGGAAUAGACCUGCAGGUGUGGGCUCUUGUCACUCCAGGACUCGCUUCAGGACAGAUGGGGUCCUGCUGGAUAGAUGAGCCCGGGGCACUGUGGGCCUCAGCACGCAAGGGCGGCGGAGAGCUGGAAGUCAUGGCCUUGGGAAGUGUCCUCCGAUGAAAAGAACCUGCAGGCUUACAGAGCGGUGGCGUGUUGGCGUGCUGAACAGCAGCUGUGUGCUUCCCCGUCCUGGGUCGGCAGGGCUGAGGCAGCAAGUGCGUGAGAGCCUGAGCAGAGAGCCCCGGGGACCCAGGAGCUCCAGGGGGGCCAGCGAGCGCGGCACAGUGGAAACGGGAGCUGGACCCAGUGGUGGCCUCAAGGCCCUGGGGGCAGUGGUGAUGGCUCAGCAGGCCCCUCAUCUCUGAUCCUGAUUCUUAAAUCCUCUGGCCUCGGGUGUUCAGGGAGUGAGUGGAGCCCAUGGUUCUGAACUGGCCUUCACCAACCUGGCCUUCACCAUGUGGAUCAUCUUCCCCACACAAGGAGGGGAAUUUAGGUGAAAAGCAAGUUGACCCAUUUGGGAUGAGGUUUAAGGAGCCCAGUGCUGAGAAUGUGGGUGUUUAGUUGAAAUCUUGGGACAAUGUCUUUUAUGCAAAAGAUACUAAAGUGAAUGGAAGGGUUUGUAUAAUGCAUUUUUUUUCCAAGGAGGGUGUGUCUGUUGGCAAAUCUAGAGAAUAAAUUGGUCUUGAAUAAACUGU
Vicugna pacos (alpaca) is the source of this 1257-nucleotide non-coding RNA. The record is from RefSeq and is a predicted model, not a curated record. NCBI's taxonomy places the organism in Eukaryota, Metazoa, Chordata, Mammalia, Artiodactyla, Camelidae.